GACCGAAGGCGGCUAGGGACUGGCUGAAGACGAAGCGAAAUAUUAAAAAGGGAGCCGUUCCCCGCUCUAUCCCCAAUCUAGCGGAGGUAAAGAAGAAAGGCAAAAUGAAGAAGCUCGGCCAAGCAAUGGAAGAAGACCUAAUCGUGGGACUGCAAGGGAUGGAGCUGAACCUUGAGGCUGAAGCACUGGCUGGCACUGGCUUGGUGUUGGAUGAGCAGCUAAAUGAAUUCCAUUGCCUCUGGGAUGACAGCUUCCCGGAAGGCCCUGAGCGGCUCCAUGCCAUCAAGGAGCAACUGAUCCAGGAGGGCCUCCUAGAUCGCUGCGUGUCCUUUCAGGCCCGGUUUGCUGAAAAGGAAGAGCUGAUGUUGGUUCACAGCCUAGAAUAUAUUGAUCUGAUGGAAACAACCCAGUACAUGAAUGAGGGAGAACUCCGUGUCCUAGCAGACACCUACGACUCAGUUUAUCUGCAUCCGAACUCAUACUCCUGUGCCUGCCUGGCCUCAGGCUCUGUCCUCAGGCUGGUGGAUGCGGUCCUGGGGGCUGAGAUCCGGAAUGGCAUGGCCAUCAUUAGGCCUCCUGGACAUC
This 585-nucleotide small RNA is filed under the name Pan troglodytes (chimpanzee). Its description in RNAcentral is "processed transcript". The record is from RNAcentral. Lineage: Eukaryota; Metazoa; Chordata; Mammalia; Primates; Hominidae.